Molecule: ribosomal RNA, 460 nt
Filed under: uncultured bacterium
Lineage: Bacteria
Description: partial 16S ribosomal RNA
Rfam family: Bacterial small subunit ribosomal RNA
Source: RNAcentral
CCUACGGGUGGCAGCAGUGAGGAAUAUUGGUCAAUGGACGAGAGUCUGAACCAGCCAAGUCGCGUGAAGGAUGACGGCCCUACGGGUUGUAAACUUCUUUUGUCAGGGAGCAAUUGGGUCCACGCGUGGGCUUAGCGAGCGUACCUGACGUAAAAGCAUCGGCUAACUCCGUGCCAGCAGCCGCGGUAAUACGGAGGAUGCGAUCGUUAUCCGGAUUUAUUGGGUUAAAAGGGUGCGUAGGCGGAAUAUAAAGUCAGCGGUAAAAAUUCGUGGUUCAACCCAGUCGUGCCGUGGAAACUGAUGUUCUUGAGUGGGCGAGAAGUAGGCGGAAUGCGUGGUGGAGCGGUGAAAUGCAUAGAGAUCACGCAGAACUCCGAUUGCGAAGGCAGCAUACCGGCGCCCAACUGACGCUGAAGCACGAAAGCGUGGGUAGCGAACAGGAUUAGAUACCCGUGUAGUC